UACGUAGGGUGCGAGCGUUAAUCGGAAUUACUGGGCGUAAAGCGUGCGCAGGCGGUUCGUUGUGUCGGUGGUGAAAGCCCCGGGCUUAACCUGGGAAUGGCCAUGGAAACUGGCGAACUGGAGUGUGGCAGAGGGGGUGGAAUUCCGCGUGUAGCAGUGAAAUGCGUAGAGAUGCGGAGGAACACCGAUGGCGAAGGCAGCCCCCUGGGCU
RNAcentral lists this ribosomal RNA (211 nucleotides) under uncultured bacterium. Its description in RNAcentral is "partial 16S ribosomal RNA". It matches the Rfam family "Bacterial small subunit ribosomal RNA", at positions 524 to 735 of the family's 1533-position model. The record is from RNAcentral.